GGGCGUGACAUCAGAGAGGCAUGGCUGACGGUACACUCAGGUGGAUCACCUCCACGGAUUUCAGACGCGGCAGGAAUCAGUUUGGACCCCAAGCAUGAAACAAAAACAGAGACCAAAGAGCCCAGCAUGCGCAUUUCUGAGCUCUAGAAUGUUUCCAGUGUCACCGAGUCAAUGCCAGCGGGGUUUGCGAGAACAGGGAAAGCUUCUGCCACACUCAAGGCAGCCAGCAGUGCUUCCUGAGGAAGGUCUACGAAGAUGGUAGAGUAGAAGAAUGUGUGCUCACUCCUUCGUGCAAGAGCACCAGAAUCACAACUAACUGCUGAACAAUCAUCAACAGGAAGACACUGGAAUUAACCAAAAAAGAUACCCCACAUCCAAAGACAAAGGAGAAGCCACAAUGAGACGGUAGGAGGGGCGCAAUCAUAAUAAAAUCAAUUCCCAUGACUGCUGGGCGGGUGACUCACAAACUGGAGAACACUUAUAGCACAGAAGUCCACCCAUUGGAGUGAAGGUUCUGAGCUACACAUCAGGCUUCCCAACCUGGGGGUCCGGCAACGGGACGAGGAAUUCCUAGAGAAUCAGACUUUGAAAGCGAAUGGGAUUUGAUUGCAGGACUUUGACAGCACUGGGGGAAACAGAGACUACACUCUUGGAGGGCACACACAAAGUAGUGUGCGCAUCAGGACCCAGGAAAAGGAGCAGUGACCCCAUAGGAGACUGAACCAGACAUACCUGCUAGUGUUCAGGGUCUCCUGCAGUGGCAGGGGUGGCUGUGGCUUACCAUGAGGACAAGGACACUGAGGACAAGGACACUGGGCAGCAGUUCUGGGAAGUACUCCUGGGCGUGAGCCCUCCCAGAGUCUGUCAGUAACCCCACCAAAGAGCUGGAUAGGCUCCAAUGUUGGGUUGCCUCAGGCCAAACAACCAACAGGGAGGGGACCCAGCCCCACCGAGCAGCAGAAAAGUGGAUUAAAGUUUUACUGAGAUCUGCACACAACCAGUCCCUCCCAUCAGAAACUUACACAAGCCUCUUAUAUAGCCUCAUCCACCAGAGGGCAGACAGAAGAAGCAAGAAGAACUACAAUCCUACAGACUGUGGACAAAAGCCGCAAUCACAGAAAGAGACAAGAUGAAAAGGCAUAGGGCUAUGUACCAGAUGAAGGAACAAGGUAAAACCCCAGAAAAACAACUAAAUGAAGUGGAGAUAGGCAACCUUCCAGAAAAAGAAUUCAGAAUCAUGAUAGUGAAGAUGAUCCAGGACCUCAGAAAAAGAAUGGAGGCAUACAUCGAUAAGAUGCAAGAAAUGUUAAACAACGACCUAGAAGAAUUAAAGAACAAACAAACAGAGAUGAAUACAAUAACUGAAAUGAAAAAUACACUAGAAGGAAUCAAUAGCAGAAUAACUGAGGCAGAAGAACAGAUAAGUGACCUAGAGGACAGAAUGGUAGAAUUCACUGCCGUGGAACAGAAGAAAAAGGAAUGAAAAGAAAUGAAGACAGCCUAAGAGACCUCUGGGACAACAUGAAAUGCUACAACAUUCACAUUAUAGGGGUCCCAGAAGGAGAAGAGAGAGAGAAAUAACCUGAGAAAAUAUUUGAAGAGAUUAUAGUAGAAAAUUCCCUAACAUGGGAAAGGAAAUAGCCACCCAAGUCCAGGAAGUGCAGAGACUUGCAGGCAGGAUAAACCCAAGAAGAAACAUGCCGAGACACAUAGUAAUCAAAUUGACAAAAAUUAAAGACAAAGAAAAAUUAUUGAAAGUACAAAGGAAAAAUGACAAAUAAGAUGCAAGGGAACUCCCAUAAGGUUAACAGCUGAUUUCUCAGCAGAAGCUCUACAAGCCAGAAGGGAGUGGCAUGAUAUAUUUAAAGUGAUGAAAGGGAAGAACCUACAACCAAGAUUACUCUACCCGGCAAGGAUCUCAUUCAGACUCGAUGGAGAAAUCAAAAGCUUUACAGACAAGCAAAAGCUAAGAGAAUUCAGCACCACCAAACCAGCUCUACAACAAAUGCUAAAGGAACUUUUCUAAGUGGGUAACACAAGAGAAGAUAAGGACCUACAAAAACAAACCCAAAACAAUUAAGAAAAUAGUAAUAGGAAUGUACAUAUCGAUAAUUACCUUAAACGUGAAUGGAUUAAAUGAUCCAACCAAAAUACACAGGCUCGCUGAAUGGAUACAAAAACAAGACCCAUAUAUAUGCUGUCUACAAGAGACCCACUUCAGACGUAGGGACACAUACAGACUGAAAGUGAGGGGAUGGAAAAAGAUGUUCCAUGCAAAAUGAAAGCAAAAGAAAGCUGGAGUAGCAAUACCGAUAUCAGAUAAACUAGACUUUAAAAUAAAGAAUGCUACAAGAGACAAGGAAGGACAAUACAUAAUGAUCAAGGGAUCAAUCCAAAAAGAAGGUAUAACAAUUAUAAAUAUAUAUGCACCCAACAUAGGAGCACCUCAAUACAUAAGGCAACUGCUAACAGCUCUAAAAGAGGAAAUCAACAGUAACACAUUUAUACUGGGGGACUUUAACACCUCACUUACACCACUGGACAGAUCAUCCAAACAGAAAAUUAACAACAAAACACAAGCUUUAAAUGACAAAAUAGACCAGAUGGAUUUAAUUGAUAUUUAUAGGACAUUGCAUCCAAAAACAGCAUAUUACACUUUCUUCUCAAGUGCACACGGAACAUUCUCCAGGAUAGAUCACAUCUUGGGUCACAAAUCAAGCCUCAGUAAAUUUAAGAAAAUUGAUAUCAUAGCAAGAAUCUCUUCUGACCACAGUGCUAUGAGAUUAGAAAUCAAUUACAUGGGAAAAAAACGUAGAAAACACAAACACAUGGAGGCUACACAAUACGUUACUAAAUAACCAAGAGUUUACUGAAGAAAUCAAAGAGGACAUCAAAAAAUACCUAGAGACAAAUGACAAUGAAAACACAAUGAUCCAAAAACUAUGUGAUGCAGCAAAAGCAGUUCUAAAAUGGAAGUUUAUAGGAAUACAAUCCUACCUCAAGAAUCUCAAAUAAACAAUCUAAACUUACACCUAAAGGAACUAGAGAAAGAAGAACAAACAAAAUCCAAAGUUAGUAGAAGGAAAGAAAUCAGCAAGAUCAGAGCAGAAAUAAAUGAAAUACAAACAAAGAAAACAAUAGCAAAGAUCAAUAAAACUAAAAGCUAGUUCUUUGAAAAGAUAAACAAAAUUGAUAAACCAUUAGACAGACUUAUCAAGAAAAAGAGGGAGAGGACUCAAAUCAAUAAAAUUAGAAAGGAAAAGGAGAAGUUACAACAGACACUGCAGAAAUACAAAACAUCAUAAGAGACUACUACAAGCAACUCUAUUUCAAUAAAAUGGACAAUGGGAAGAAAUGGACAAAUUCUUAGAAACGAAUAACCUUCCAAGACUGAACCAGGAAGAAAUACAAAAUAUGAACAGACCAAUCACAAGCACUGAAAUUGAAAAUGUGAUUAAAAAUCUUCCAACAAACCAAAUCCCAGGACCAGAUGGCUUCACAGGCAAAUUCUAUCAAACAUUUAGAGAAGAGCUAACACCCAUCCUUCUCAAACCCUUCCAAAUAAUUGCAGAGGAAGGAACACUCCCAAACUCAUUCUACAAGGCCACCAUCACCGUGAUACCAAAACCAGACAAAGAUACUACAAAAUAAGAAAAUUACAGACCAACAUCACUGAUGAAUAUCGAUGCAAAAAUCCUCAACAAAAUACUAGCAAACAAAAUCCAACAAUACAUUAAAAGGAUCAUACACUAUGAUCAAGUGGGAUCUAUCCAAGGGAUGCAAGGAUUCUUCAGUAUAUGCAAAUCAAUCAAUGUGAUACACCAUACUAGCAAAUUGAAUAAUAAAAACCAUAUGAUCAUCUCAAUAGAUGCAGAAAAAGCUCUUGACAAAAUUCAACAUCGAUUUGUGAUAAAAACUCUCCAGAAAGUGGUCAUAGAGGGAACCUACCUCAACAUAAUAAAGGCCAUAUAUGACAGUCCCACAGCAAACAUCAUUCUCAAUGGUGAAAAACUGAAAGCAUUUCCUCUAAGGUCAGGAACAAGAUAAGGAUAUCCACUCUCACCAUUAUUAUUCAACAUAGUUUUGGAAGUCCUAUCCAUGGCAAUCAGAGAAGAAAAAGAAAUAAAAGCAAUACAAAUGGGAAAAGAAGAAGUAAAACUGUCACUGUUUGCAGAUGACAUGAUACUAUACAUAGAGAAUCCUAAAGAUGCCGCCAGAAAACAACUAGAGCCAGUCAAUGAAUUUGGUAAAGUUGCAGGAUACAAAGUUAAUGCACAGAAAUCUCUUGCAUUCCUAUACACUAAUGAUGAAAAAUCUGAAAGAGAAAGUAAGGAAAUACUCCCAUUUACCAUUACAACAAAAAGAAUAAAAUACCUAGGAAUAAGCCUACCUAGGGAGACAAAAGACCUGUAUGCAGAAAACUAUAAGAAACUGAUGAAAGAAAUUAAAGAUGAUACAAACAGAUGGAUAGAUAUACCAUGUACUUGGAUUGGAAGAAUCAAUAUUGUGAAAAUGACUAUACUACCCAAAGCAAUCUACAGAUUCAAUGCAACCCCUAUCAAAUUACCAAUGGCAUUUUUUUACAGAACUAGAACAAAAAAAUCUUAAAAUUUGUAUGGAGACACAAAGACUCUGAAUAGCCAAAGUAAUCUUGAGGGAAAAAAAUGUAGCUGGAAGAAUCAGACUCCUUACUACAAAGCUACAGUAAUCAAGACAAUAUUGUACUGGCACAAAAUCAGAAGUAUAAAUCAAUGGAACAGGAUAGAAAGCCCAGAGAUAAACCCACACACCUAUGGUCAACUAAUCUGACAAAGGAGGCAAGGAUAUACAAUGGAGAAAAGACAGCCUCCUCAAUAAGUGUUGCUAGGAAAAUUGGACAGCUACAUAUAAAAGAAUGACAUUAAAACACUUCCUAACACCAUACACAGAAAUAAACUCAAAAUGGGUUAGAGACUUACAUGCAUGACCAAACACUAUAAAACUCUUAGAGGAAAACAUAGGAAGAACACUCUUUGACAUAAAUCACAGCAAGAUCUUUUUUGACCCACCUCCUAGAGUAAUGGAAAUAAAAACAGAAACAAACAAAUGGGACCUAAUGAAACUUAAAGGCUUUUGCACAACAAAGGAAACUAUAAAGAAGACGAAAAGUCAGCCCUCAGAGUGGAAGAAAUUAUUUGCAAACAAAGUAACGGACAAAGGAUUAAUCUCCAAAACAUAUAAACAGUUCAUGCAGCUCAAUAUUAAAGAAACAAACAACCCAAUCCAAAAAUGGGCAGAAGACCUAAAUAGACAUUUCUCCAAGGAAGACAUACAGAUGGCCAAGAAGCACAUGAAAAGUUGCUCAACAUCACUAAUUAUUAGAGAAAUGCAAAUCAAAACUACAAUGAGGUAUCACCUCACAUCAGUUGGAAUGGGCAUCAUCAGAAAAUCUACAAACAGUAAAUGCUGGAGAGGGUGUGGAGAAAAGGGAACCCUCUUGCACUGUUGGUGGGAAUGUAAAUUGAUACAGCCACUAUGGAGAACAGUAUGGAGAUUUCCUUAAAAAACUAAAAAUAGAACUACCAUAUGACUCAGCAAUCCCACUACUGCACAUAUACCCCAAGAAAACCAUAAUUCAAAAAGAGUCAUGUACCACAGUGGUCAUUGCAACAGUAUUUACAACAGCCAUGUCAUGGAAGCCACCUAAAUGCCCAUCAACAGACAAAUGGAUAAAGAAGAAGUGGUACAUAUAUACAAUGGAAUAUUACUCAGCCAUAAAAAGGAACGAAAUUGGGUCAUUUGUAGAGCCAUGGAUGGACUUAGAGACUGUCAUACAAAGUGAAGUAAAUCAGAAAGAGAAAAACAAAUAUAGUAUAUUAACGUAUAUAUGUGGAACCUAGAAAAAUGGUACAGAUGAACUGGUUUGCAGGGCAGAAAUAGAGACACAGAUGUAGAGAACAAAUGUAUGGACACCAAGGGGGAAAGUGGCAGGGGUGGUGGUGGUGGGUUGAAUUGGGAGAUUGGGAUUGACAUGUCUAUACUAAUAUGUAUAAAAUAGAUAACUAAUAAGAACCUGCUUUAUAAAAAAUAAAUAAAAUUCUAAAAUUCAAAAAAAAACUAAAAAAAAAAGAAAAGAAUACAAAUAACAAAUGUUGGUGAGGAUAUGGGGAAAAGGGAACUCUGAUACACUGUUGAUGGGAAUACAAAUUGGUGCAGCCCCUGUGGAAAACAGUAUGGAGUUUCCUCAAAGAGCUAAAAAUAGAACUACCAUAAGACCCAGCUAUUCCACUCCUGGAUAUAUAUACAUACAUAUAUCUGAAGAAAAAUAAAACACUAAUUUUAAAACAUACAUGCACCACAAUGUUCAUAGCUUCAUUAUUUACAAUUGCCAAGAUAUGGAAGCAACCUAAGGGUACAUCAGCAGAUGAAUGGGUAAAGAAGAUAUGGUAUAAGUAUACAAUGGAAUACUACUCAGUGAUAGAAAAGAAUAAAAAUUUUCCAUUUGCAGCAACAUGGACAGACUUGGAGGGUAUUAGGCUUAGUAAAAUAAGUUGGAGAAAGACAAACACUGUAUGACGUCACUUAUAUGUGGAAUCUAAAAAAUACAAUGAACUAGUGAAUAAAACAGAAGAGACUCACAGAUAUAGAGAAGGAACUAGUGGUCACCAGUGGGGAGAGGGAAGGGGGCAGGAGCAAUAUAGGGGGUUAAGAAGUACAAACUAUUAUAUAUAAAAUAAGCUACAAGGAUAUACUGUACAACGUGGGGAAUAUAGCCAAUAUUUUAUAGUAACUAUAAAUGGAGUAUAACCUUUAAAAAUU
Molecule: long non-coding RNA, 6798 nt
Organism: Globicephala melas (long-finned pilot whale)
Lineage: Eukaryota; Metazoa; Chordata; Mammalia; Artiodactyla; Delphinidae
Source: RefSeq, a predicted model, not a curated record